RNAcentral lists this long non-coding RNA (5817 nucleotides) under Macaca mulatta (Rhesus monkey). RNAcentral's name for it is "lncRNA (ENSMMUG00000056016.1)". The record is from RNAcentral. Lineage: Eukaryota; Metazoa; Chordata; Mammalia; Primates; Cercopithecidae.
UUUUUUCCCAACAUGUUUUAUAAGAGCACUAAUCCCAUUAGCGAGGGUGGAACAAUCAUGACCUCAGCGUUUCCCAAAAGGCCUCAGCUGUUACUCAAUACUAUCACACUGGGCAUUAGGUUCCAACACAGGAAUUUUGGUGGAACACAUAUAUUCAAACCACAGCAUAGGAUCACUUUAAACUUACAAUUCUAUAAACAGUUCUGACUACAAAACUAGACGAAUGAAGAGAAGAAGCAACACCUCCAUGCUACCGGGAUAAAAUUUCCAAAGACCUCACUACAAUAGUUACCAACAAAGAGGAUUUUGAAUUAGUACAAAUUCACAGAUUUUGGGGGUAAUCCAGACUAAAAGAGUUUUACUUCACUAAUUUAAGCCUGUGUUUUCAAAUGAAGGGCAGUAUCACAUGCAAAUACAACACAUAUAUCCAAAUUCCUAACUGGGUCCUAAGUAGGAUUGGCUUUACUUUGCAAGGCUCUAGAAGAAAGAAAGCCAAAGUUGUAUUACAAGAUUGACAGCCUAGGCUUUUAAAACACAUCCUGACAUUGACACGAAGACCCCAGGGUGAGUGUGGGGUCAACAGUUAUCACCAAAAAUAUGGCCUUCUGUUCCAUGUACUAACACAUUGAUCUGUUUUAUUUAGAUCCUGAGUUUAGUGACCUCAAGAAUUAUUUACCAUAGUGAACAGGAAAAAUUUCCAUAUUUGCCAAGGCUUUCUUUAAGAAAGAGCUGGGCCGGGCACAGUGGCUCACACCUGUAAUCCCAGCACUUUAGGAGGCCAAGGUGGGAAGAUCACGAGGUCAUGAUAUCGAGACCAUCCUGGCUAACACGGUGAAACCCCGCCUCUACUAAAAACAUAAAAAAUUAGCCAGGCAUGGUGGUGGGCGCCUGUAGUUGCAGCUACUCGGAAGGCUGAGGCAGGAGAAUCACUUGAACCCGGGAGGCGGAGCUUGCAGUGAGCUGAGAUCCGGCCACUGUACUCCAGCCUGGGCGACAGAGCGAGACUCCGUCUCAAAAAAAAAAAAAAAUUUACUGAAGAUAACCAAAGUUGAACAGAAAACAGGUGAUUAAUAACUGACACUCAAAAAGAACAUUCCACAUAUUCUUUGAAAACGCAGGGAGUCAUAUCAAUAUUUAAAUACAGUUCACUAUGAGUCAUGUUUAAAUAGUCAUAUAACUGAUGCCAUACAUCAGAUAUUUAUCAGAAACUAUGAACCAUUCGUGGUGCUGGAAAAUAAGAUGACAAACUAGGGAAGAGAUGGCAGGAGAUGAAGAGGAAAAGUAGGUCAGGUUCAGAUUUGGAACGAAUGCGGUGAUGCUUCAGUACAUUCAGAUGAGACUAUUUGGAGAUCAGACGAGCAUUUUUAUCCCAGCUUCCGUGGGUUCCGCAGAGCACUUGCAUCAAAUGCUAGACACACAAUACUAAAGGUUUCUCCUCACUGUUCUGAAGCUUGACGUUAUCUCCCUUAACACUCAACUACAGGUUUCAUCAAAUAAACAUCAAAUUAUUUCCAAGAUAAACAUCAGUAGGUGUUAGUUGAAAGGAAGUGGAGGGAGGCUCAGCUUCUUCAUUUCUUUGAAGCUUUAUUUUGGUUUCAAUAAAAAACAACUCAGAUGGCCAGCUAUGUAGACUGAACUGACUGAACAGUGACCGCUUUUCCCGCAUAAGACAGCUGACAUAAGGAAGACAACCAAAUGAAUCUGGAAGAUUUCGAAGAAAACGUCCAGUGCUAUACUGAAAAAAAGAGAGCAGUUUAAACAGAAAAAAAAAUGUAUUAAUAGAAAGGCACCUAGACAAACAAGUCACAAACCAAAUAAAGUGUCAACAGGAGUGCCAAUCAAAUUGUAUAUAUCCAUCCAAAAGAGAGAAGGUGACUGAGAACAAGAAUCCCCCAAAUAAGCAUUUAUGUAAUUAAAGAGCCUCUUAACAUACGUUGUGUUUCAUACGUGCUUGGUGAACACUGAUAACUACAGGUAAUCUUAUUUUAGAAAGCAAUGUCAGGGGGCCAGACACAGUGCCUCAUGCCUGUAAUUCCAGCACUUUUGGAGGCCGAGUUGGGUGAAUCACCUGAGGUCAGGAAUUCAAGACAAGCCUGGCCAACAUGGUGAAACUCUUGUCUCUACUAAAAAUACAAAAAUUAGCCAGGCGUGGUGGUGCAUGCCUGUAGUCCCAGCUACUCGGGAGACUGAAGCAGGAGAAUCACUUGAACCCGAGAGAUGGAGGUUGCAGUGAGCCACUGCACUACAGCCUGGGUGGCAGAGCGAGACUCCAUCACAAAAAAAAAAAAAAAAAAAAAAAGAAAGCAAUGUCAGGGGACACUCACCUAGCAAGAAUCAGAUUACAGAACCUGUUUAAGCAUCUUAUUUCCAGAGACCUGUAAUGUGUGCAAGCGCAACCAUAGAUUUAGGCAGUUUUCUUUCUUCAAAAUGAGUCAUACCCAAGUCACUAAUGUUAAGAAUGGGUUUUCAGUCUGUGCUUUAAUCCAGAAUAGCCUUAUCACCUUUCUUUUGUUUUGUUUUGUUUUGUUUUGUUUUGAGACAGAGUCUCACUCUGUCGCCCAGGCUGGAAGACUCUGUCUCAAAAACAAACAAACAAAAAAAAAGAAUUCAUUUCAUUUAAUACUACAGUUCUUACCUUAGUGGAACCACGUUACCAUUCCAUUGGAUAGUUACCUCUCUCUGCAUUGUGGUCAGUUGAGUUCUCUUAUGAUGACCCCCUGUACGUGCCCACCCAGAAAACUUUGGUACAGAUGAAAUCAAAGCCCAAGUUCUCUGUCUGGAUGGCAGAAAUAAAUCCAGUUACAAUAGAAAAGUAGAGGUGAAUGGAAUGAGCCAGUUAUGUUCUGUUUUUGUCUAUUCUACCAAUGAAAGGAUCACCAAACCUUCAAUGAGACUUUCCAUCAGUCAAUCAUCAGGUCAGAUGGGGAAAACUAGUAACAUGCAGCUGUGACUCAGAAAAAGAAAACACAUACCUGGGAAGCAUUAUCAAUCUUAUCUUAACAACCUUCUGGAGAACACUGGUGCAAACACGUGUUACUAUUUGUCUGAAAACCAAACAUUUGAAAAUUCUGGAACCAGAUUUCUAAAGUCCAAUUGAGUGAGCCCUGGGAAAUCUGAGCUUGGGUUCUCAACAACAGAUCACCAGGGCUACUGAGGAAAACGCAGUGCCACAAUAAACCUCCUGUCAAUAGGGUGGCAUUCACCCUGUUUACCUGAGGUUGGGUGAUUAUGAGAAGCCUUGGGAGGCAGUGUCAUCACCAAUUGUUAAUUGAGAUUCUUUCUUCCUUAGAAAAAUGAGUUAUUGGGGGCCAGGCAUGGUGGCUCACGUCUGUAAUCCCAGCACUCUGGGAGGCCAAAGCGAGCAGAUCACUUGAGGUUAGGAGUUUCUGAUCAGCCUGGCCAAUACAGUGAAACCCUGUCUCUACUAAAAAUACAAAAAAAUUAGCCAGGCAUGGUGGCAACGCAUGUAGGCUACUUUGAAGGCUGAAACAAGAGAAUUGCUUGAACCUGGGAGGCGGAGGUUGCAGUGAGCUGAGAUCGUGCCACUGCACUCCAGCCUGGGCGACACAGUGAGACUCUCAAAUAUUAUACACACACACACACACACACACACACACACACACACACAUAUUAGCCGGGCUUGGUGGCGCGCACCUGUAGUCCCAGCUACUAGGGAGGCUGAGGCACGAGAAUCGCUUGAACCCGGGAGGCAGAGGUUGUGGUGAGCAGAAAUUGCGCCACUGCACUCUAGCCUGGGCGAUAGAGUGAGACUCUGUCUAAAAAAAAAGAAAAAAGGACGGGCGUGGUGGCUCACGCCUGUAAUCCCAGCACUUUGGGAGGCCAAGGCAGGCGGAUCACGAAGACAGGGGUUCGAGACCAACCUGACCAACAUGGGAAAACCCUGUCUCUACUAAAAAUACAAAAAAAAUUAGCCGGGCAUGGUGGUGAGUGCCUGUAAUCCCAGCUACUCGGGAGGCUAAGGCAGGAGAAUCGCUUGAACCCGGGAGGCAGAGGUUGCAGUGAGCCAAGACUGCGCUACUGCACUCCAGCCUAGAUGACAGAGCGAGAGGAAAAAAGAGAAAAAAAAAAAGAAAAAUGAGUUAUUCAGAGAACAUUCCAGGACACCUUAUCUAAUCAUAGUAAUAAUAGUUAUAGUAAAUACCCAGGUGGUCACCUAACCUCACUCACUUCUGGGUGCAUUGCAGAAUUAAGGAGUGGGAAGUCACUUCAGAACUCUGUGCCUGUCCAUCUAAAGUCAAUCUGAUUUCUCUACAUUUUCCUUUUCUCCAAUCAUCUUACACCUAAGGCAAAUAGAGGCACUGUUAUCCUCUACUGAAAUAGCUGAGAACAUUCGCAAGGGUUAAAGACAGCAAAUACUCUACAGCCUCUAGAGUUUCCAAGGCAAGCUCAGAGAAGGCCAGGAGAGCACCCUAUGAAGACCCAACUCCCAGGAAAUCUUUCUUCUCUGUCUCCUUAAGAAACAGCUGGUUCUCUCUGUCAGUGGAUACUGUUUUCCCCCAUUUGAUACACUGUUUCCCCAAUUAGGUCUUGUUGCUAUUUACCUUGGUUAUUGUAUUAGUCUAUGUGGUAAUGGUGUUUUGAAUAGACUGUCAAAGGAAAAAUGAAGUGGGUCUUUUCAAAAUCACUUUGCCAAGCAAUUCAGGAAACUUGUAAUUUAGAAAGCUCAACGAGGAAAAGUUUUCAUCUAACAUCUAUUUCUUCAUAAACUUAAAAAAGAAGUGUUUUUCUCUAAUAGAACCACAGCUUUUCUUUAAAAAGAAUAAGAAGUUUUAAUUUGGGUUUAUUUUAGGAAUAUAUCCAUUUCUGAAUCUACAUAACUAAUAAUUAAAAGAUUAUGAAAACAAGUUACCUAUUAAUUGUGGGUUUCUCUGGAAACUGUAAAUUCAAAGCUCCUCUUAGUGACCUAAACAUAUCACUUUAAAUGUGAAAUUAAAAUUAUGUCUCAUCAAAAACUAAACUUAUCAUAGAUUAUCCAAAUACAAAUGCACACAUUUACUAACAUCAGUUUCAAACAUCCCAAUAGUAUGCUUUAGAAAGUGUUUUAGCAACUGAAGCACUUAAGUUCCGUAUUUUAAGGACCACUUCAGAAUCGAACAGAUUUUUUAAAUCCUCUAAAUCACCCCAAAUACUAUAAAUGGUAAUUUUAAAUAAAAAAGAUUAAACAUCCCGUUGGCUGGGCGCAGUGGCUCACGCUUGUAAUCCCAGCACUUUGGGAGGCCGAGGCGGGCAGAUCACGAGGUCAAGAGAUCGAGACCACGGUGAAAUCCCGUCUCUACUAAAAAUACAAAAAAAAUUAGCCGGGUGUAGUGGUGGGCCCCUGUAGACCCAGCUACUCGGGAGGCUGAGGCAGGAGAAUGGUGUGAACCCAGGAGGCGGAGUUUGCAGUGAGCCGAGAUGGCACCACUGCACUCCAGCCUGGGCGACAGAGGGAGACUCCGUCUCAAGAAAAAAAAAAAAAAGAUUAAACAUCCGGUUGUAUGCAGCUCUCAACCCAAUAAGCCAGAUAACGCUAGAAAUCGGCAUAAAAGCUCUCCAUCCACCACCUGCCAUAACGUGCACACUGAAUCUGCCAAGAGCGCCCUGAGCAUUCCAGGGGUGGGUGGGAUGCCUGACUGCUCCGCUUGCUCUAUAGCCCCCAAUCAGUCUAAAACCAGCUGGUGGUGUUUUCAAACGCAUACCCACCAUCGCCAGCUCCCCAGCCCCCAACCACUGUGCAUUCUGGGAGAAAAACAAGGUUUUAAUUUAAAUUUUAGAAAAACUAAACUUUAGUUUUACGAAGAAAGCUACUUUAGUGCA